Molecule: non-coding RNA, 86 nt
Organism: Caenorhabditis elegans
Lineage: Eukaryota; Metazoa; Nematoda; Chromadorea; Rhabditida; Rhabditidae
Source: Ensembl
GUGUCAUUGAACAUUACAGCCGAGUCAAAAACUAUUUCUCCUCCGUGAAUAUAAACAACAACUGCACAAUCUUUGGAUUUCUGAAA